Molecule: ribosomal RNA, 396 nt
Filed under: uncultured bacterium
Lineage: Bacteria
Description: bacterial SSU rRNA
Rfam family: Bacterial small subunit ribosomal RNA
Source: RNAcentral
GAUGAACGCUAGCGAUAGGCCUAACACAUACAAGUCGAGGGGCAUCACAUGAAGUAGCAAUACGGAUGGUGGCGACCGGCGCACGGGUGAGUAACACGUAUGCAACCUGCCUUCAACAAGGGGAUAACCCGUUGAAAGACGGACUAAUACCCUAUAACACAGGGGUCCCGCAUGGGAAUAUUUGUUAAAGGACAACCGGUUGAAGAUGGGCAUGCGUUCCAUUAGCUAGUUGGCGGGGUAACGGCCCACCAAGGCAACGAUGGAUAGGGGAACUGAGAGGUUUAUCCCCCACACUGGUACUGAGACACGGACCAGACUCCUACGGGAGGGCAGCAGUGAGGAAUAUUGGUCAAUGGACGCAAGUCUGAACCAGCCACGUCGCGUGAAGGAAGACGG